AGGACGAACGCUGGCGGCGUGCCUAACACAUGCAAGUCGAACGAGGUUAAUCCGGUAGCAAUACUGGUGACUGCCUAGUGGCGAACGGGUGAGUAGCACGUGAGCAACCUGCCCCGAAGACCGGGACAACACCGGGAAACCGGUGCUAAUACCGGAUACCCCACCUAAUCGCAUGAUCUGGUGAGGAAAUGGAUUCCGCUUCGGGAGGGGCUCGCGGCCUAUCAGCUAGUUGGUGAGGUAACGGCUCACCAAGGCUUCGACGGGUAGCUGGUCUGAGAGGACGAUCAGCCACACUGGGACUGAGACACGGCCCAGACUCCUACGGGAGGCAGCAGUGGGGAAUCUUGCACAAUGGGCGAAAGCCUGAUGCAGCAACGCCGCGUGAGGGACGAAGGCUUUCUGAGUUGUAAACCUCUUUCAUCAGGGACGAUUGUGACGGUACCUGCAGAAGAGCCCGGCACUACGUGCCAGCAGCCGCGGUAA
RNAcentral lists this ribosomal RNA (483 nucleotides) under uncultured bacterium. RNAcentral's name for it is "SSU rRNA". It matches the Rfam family "Bacterial small subunit ribosomal RNA", at positions 26 to 523 of the family's 1533-position model. The record is from RNAcentral.